GAUGAACGCUGGCGGCGUGCCUAAUACAUGCAAGUCGAGCGAACAGACGAGGAGCUUGCUCCUCUGACGUUAGCGGCGGACGGGUGAGUAACACGUGGAUAACCUACCUAUAAGACUGGGAUAACUUCGGGAAACCGGAGCUAAUACCGGAUAACAUGUUGAACCGCAUGGUUCAACAGUGAAAGACGGCCUUGCUGUCACUUAUAGAUGGAUCCGCGCCGCAUUAGCUAGUUGGUAAGGUAACGGCUUCCAAGGCAACGAUGCGUAGCCGACCUGAGAGGGUGAUCGGCCACACUGGAACUGAGACACGGUCCAGACUCCUACGGGAGGCAGCAGUAGGGAAUCUUCCGCAAUGGGCGAAAGCCUGACGGAGCAACGCCGCGUGAGUGAAGAAGGUCUUCGGAUCGUAAAACUCUGUUAUUAGGGAAGAACAAAUGUGUAAGUAACUAUGCACGUCCUGACGGUACCUAAUCAGAAAGCCACGGCUAACUACGUG
Molecule: ribosomal RNA, 496 nt
Filed under: uncultured bacterium
Lineage: Bacteria
Description: partial 16S ribosomal RNA
Rfam family: Bacterial small subunit ribosomal RNA
Source: RNAcentral